Phalaenopsis equestris is the source of this 1206-nucleotide long non-coding RNA. RefSeq lists it as uncharacterized. The record is from RefSeq and is a predicted model, not a curated record. Lineage: Eukaryota; Viridiplantae; Streptophyta; Magnoliopsida; Asparagales; Orchidaceae. The transcript has 2 exons.
UUCUAUACCUCUAAAAAAAUCGUCAAAACCCUUCAAUUUUAAUUUUAAUCAAAAAGCUUGCAAGAAAGGUAACAUUUCAAAACCAAAACUCAAAUCCGGCUAAAUAAAUAGGAAGAUUAUGAUUAAGGCAUCAUCCCAAAACCAAGAUUCAAAUCUAGCAUACACUUUAACGAGAGGCGGCAAGGAAAAAUAAAGUAAGCCUCAAAAAAUGUAAUUUUCAACAUUUAAAACGACCUCCAAUAUAUAUUUCAAUAAGGGACAACAAGGGAAGUAAAUAAAAGCCCCAAAAUGUAAUUUCUAGCAUUUAAAAUGAUUCUCCAGCAUGUAUUUCAACUAGGGGCAGCAAGAGGUGCAAGAUAAAGGCCCCAAAAAUAUGAUUUCCAAUAUUUAAAACAGCCACUAACAUGUAUUUCAAUAAGGGGCAGCAAAGGAAAUACAUAAAAGCUCCCAAAGAUGUAAUUUCCAACAUUCCAACACAUCCUUUCAACAUGUAUUUCAACAAGGGGCAGCAAGAGGAAAUAGAUAAAGCCCCAAAAAAUGUAAUUUUCAGCAUUCCAAACAUCCUUCCAACAUGUAUUUCAACAAGAGGCAGUAAAGGAAAUAGAUAAAGCCCCAAAAAAUGUAAUUUCAGCAUUCAAAACAUCCUUCCAACAUGUAUUUCAAUUAGGGGCAGCAUGAGGAAAUAGAUAAAGCCAAAAAAAAAAAGUAAUUUCCAGCAUUCCAACACAUCCUUCCAACAUGUAUUUCAACUAGGGGCAGCAAGAGGAAAUAGAUAAAGCCCCAAAAAAAUGUAAUUUCAGCAUUCAUGAUAUAUGAAAUAAUAUAAAAUAGGGUAGGAUAGAAGAAUACCUCUUCUCCUUUUUGUAACUUAAAGCAAAAGAGGAGUAAAGCUUCCUUUCCAACAGAGAAAACAGCGAAGAGAUUAUCCUAAUCGAAUGGAUAAUAGAGGUAGAAAAGCAUCCAAAUCUCCCUAAAAUCCCUCAAAAACUUCUUUCAAAAUUUUUUUAACAAACCCUAAGCCACACAAGAUCAAAAGAACAAGUAAUAAUGGAUCUUGAAGAGAUUUUGACAGCACCUCCCUACUUCCAAAAUUUCGGCCAGCACCAGAAAAAUUCCCAAAGUGGUAUUUUAAAGCAAAGAAAAGAGGGAGGAGAAGCCACCUACCAACCACCCAUUCCAGCAAAUCGCGUGAGAGGAGAGGAGAAA